Molecule: non-coding RNA, 517 nt
Organism: Camellia sinensis
Lineage: Eukaryota; Viridiplantae; Streptophyta; Magnoliopsida; Ericales; Theaceae
Source: RefSeq, a predicted model, not a curated record
AUCAAUCCUGACUGAUUGGAAGGCGAGAAAGUUGUGAUAUUCGGAACACUCUUCAAUUGCUCUUCCACCGUUACUCUCUUUCCAUCAGAUUCUAUAUGUCUUGGUUCAGUCCUGGCAUAUCCCUAUUUCCGGCAUCUCGCGUUCUCUCCUCCAUCAGGGAAUAGGUUGCUGGAUGGUGUUGGUUGUAGCAAGGGAAUAUGCUGAAAUGGACAUUCUAUUGUUGAGGUCUUAGAACUGAUUUGGUGAAAGCAUGUGGAAUUUCUCCCAAUUUAUUGCCUCCAAGGACACAGAUUUUUGGGGCUGGUUCUUACUCAUAUUUGGCUUUGUUUUCUUUGUGGGUUUCUUCUAUGCUGCAAUUAUAUUAAAGUUUCUUCCACCAUCUGAUAAUGCUCUCAUAUCUGCUAUAAAGACCGACAGGUAACCUUUUGGUGUAUAUAAGUCUUAUGUCUAAUAAAAUUAUUUAACAUUACUUGGUAACGUUGAGUCCUGUUUUAAACCUAAUUGGGAGCUUUAGUGA